Molecule: unclassified non-coding RNA, 343 nt
Filed under: soil metagenome
Description: partial contains 5.8S ribosomal RNA, internal transcribed spacer 2, and large subunit ribosomal RNA
Rfam family: 5.8S ribosomal RNA (bases 1-122)
Source: RNAcentral
GAUGAAGAAACGUAGCGAAAUGCGAUAAGUAGUGUGAAUUGCAGAAUUCAGCGAAUCAUCGAAUCCUUGAACGCACAUUGCGCCCUUCGGUUAUUCCUUAGGGCAUGCCUGUUCGAGCGUCAUUUCAACCUUCAAGCCUGGCUUGGUGUUGGGCGCUGUCCCGCCUCCGCGCGCGGACUCGCCCCAAAUGAAUUGGCAGUCGCACCCUCCGAGCCGCGAGCGCAGCACAAGUCGCGCGGGCGGAACUCUGGGGGGACGGACGCUCCACAAGACCCUUUCUCAGUCUUGACCUCGGAUCAGGUAGGGAUACCCGCUGAACUUAAGCAUAUCAAUAAGCGGAGGA